GACGAACGCUGUCGGCGUGCUUAACACAUGCAAGUCGAACGGAAAGGCCCUGCUUUUGUGGGGUGCUCGAGUGGCGAACGGGUGAGUAACACGUGAGUAACCUGCCCUUGACUUUGGGAUAACUUCAGGAAACUGGGGCUAAUACCGGAUAGGAGCUCCUGCUGCAUGGUGGGGGUUGGAAAGUUUCGGCGGUUGGGGAUGGACUGGCGGCUUAUCAGCUUGUUGGUGGGGUAGUGGCUUACCAAGGCUUUGACGGGUAGCCGGCCUGAGAGGGUGACCGGCCACAUUGGGACUGAGAUACGGCCCAGACUCCUACGGGAGGCAGCAGUGGGGAAUAUUGCACAAUGGGCGGAAGCCUGAUGCAGCAACGCCGCGUGCGGGAUGACGGCCUUCGGGUUGUAAACCGCUUUCGCCUGUGACGAAGCGUGAGUGACGGUAAUGGGUAAAGAAGCACCGGCUAACUACGUG
This 468-nucleotide ribosomal RNA is filed under the name uncultured bacterium. RNAcentral's name for it is "partial 16S ribosomal RNA". It matches the Rfam family "Bacterial small subunit ribosomal RNA", at positions 28 to 507 of the family's 1533-position model. The record is from RNAcentral.